Molecule: long non-coding RNA, 144 nt
Organism: Maniola jurtina (meadow brown)
Lineage: Eukaryota; Metazoa; Arthropoda; Insecta; Lepidoptera; Nymphalidae
Exons: 3
Source: RefSeq, a predicted model, not a curated record
AUGAACCGAUUUUACAAUUUUUUUAUUUCACAAGUUUUAGUGGCCCCAUUGUAUUGAAAUAUACUACACCUGGUUAAAAACCUACUGUUUACUAAGCCGACCGCGAGCAAUUCACACUUAUCCGUUGAGGAGUUCUGUUCUCUA